ACUCAAUAGAUACCCCGGUAGUCCACGCCCUAAACGAUGUCAACUAGGUGUUGGGAGCGCAAGUUCUCAGUACCGCAGCUAAACGCGUGAAGUUGACCGCCUGGGGAGUACGGUCGCAAGAUUAAAACUCAAAGGAAUUGACGGGGACCCGCACAAGCGGUGGAUGAUGUGGAUUAAUUCGACGCAACGCGAACAACCUUACCUACCCUUGACAUGUCUGGAACCCUGCUGAAAGGCGGGGGUGCCCGAAAGGGAACCGGAACACAGGUGCUGCAUGGCUGUCGUCAGCUCGUGUCGUGAGAUGUUGGGUUAAGUCCCGCAACGAGCGCAGCCCUUGUCCUUAGUUGCUACGCAAGGGCACUCUAAGGAGACUGCCGGUGACAAACCGGAGGAAGGUGGGGAUGGCGUCAAGUCCUCAUGGCCCUUAUGGGUAGGGCUUCACACGUCAUACAAUGGUCGGUACAGAGGGUAGCCAACCCGCGAGGGGAGCCAAUCCCAGAAAGCCGAUCGUAGUCCGGAUCGCAGUCUGCAACUCGACUGCGUGAA
This 546-nucleotide ribosomal RNA is filed under the name uncultured bacterium. RNAcentral describes it as "bacterial SSU rRNA". It matches the Rfam family "Bacterial small subunit ribosomal RNA", at positions 772 to 1324 of the family's 1533-position model. The record is from RNAcentral.